Molecule: ribosomal RNA, 257 nt
Filed under: uncultured bacterium
Lineage: Bacteria
Description: partial 16S ribosomal RNA
Rfam family: Bacterial small subunit ribosomal RNA
Source: RNAcentral
UACAGAGGGGGCAAGCGUUGUUCGGAAUUACUGGGCGUAAAGGGCGCGUAGGCGGCCUUCUAAGUCGAACGUGAAAAUCCCCCGGGCUCAACCCGGGAACUGCGUCCGAUACUGGAAGGCUUGAAUCCGGGGAGAGGGAUGUGGAAUUCCAGGUGUAGCGGUGAAAUUCGUAGAUAUUGGGAAGAACACCGGUGGCGAAGGCGGCGUCUGGACCGAGACUGACGCUGAGGCGCGAAAAGCGUGGGGGAGCAAACAGG